This 62-nucleotide transfer RNA is filed under the name Dipodomys ordii (Ord's kangaroo rat). It matches the Rfam family "tRNA". From Rfam's summary of the family: Transfer RNA (tRNA) molecules are approximately 80 nucleotides in length. Their secondary structure includes four short double-helical elements and three loops (D, anti-codon, and T loops). Lineage: Eukaryota; Metazoa; Chordata; Mammalia; Rodentia; Heteromyidae. The record is from Rfam by way of RNAcentral.
GGGAAUGUGGCUCAGUGGUAGAGUGCUUGCCUAGCAUGCAUGGGUUCAAUUCCUCAAUUCCA